This 493-nucleotide ribosomal RNA is filed under the name uncultured bacterium. Its description in RNAcentral is "partial 16S ribosomal RNA". It matches the Rfam family "Bacterial small subunit ribosomal RNA", at positions 29 to 508 of the family's 1533-position model. The record is from RNAcentral.
AGUGAACGCUGGCGGUAGGCCUAACACAUGCAAGUCGAACGGCAGCACAGUAAGAGCUUGCUCUUACGGGUGGCGAGUGGCGGACGGGUGAGGAAUACAUCGGAAUCUACUUUUUCGUGGGGGAUAACGUAGGGAAACUUACGCUAAUACCGCAUACGACCUACGGGUGAAAGCAGGGGAUCUUCGGACCUUGCGCGAUUGAAUGAGCCGAUGUCGGAUUAGCUAGUUGGCGGGGUAAAGGCCCACCAAGGCGACGAUCCGUAGCUGGUCUGAGAGGAUGAUCAGCCACACUGGAACUGAGACACGGUCCAGACUCCUACGGGAGGCAGCAGUGGGGAAUAUUGGACAAUGGACGCAAGCCUGAUCCAGCCAUACCGCGUGGGUGAAGAAGGCCUUCGGGUUGUAAAGCCCUUUUGUUGGGAAAGAAAAGCAGCAGGUUAAUACCCCGCUGUUCUGACGGUACCCAAAGAAUAAGCACCGGCUAACUUCGUGC